Molecule: long non-coding RNA, 1009 nt
Organism: Lutra lutra (Eurasian river otter)
Lineage: Eukaryota; Metazoa; Chordata; Mammalia; Carnivora; Mustelidae
Exons: 3
Source: RefSeq, a predicted model, not a curated record
CUUGGCACCAUAUUGAGCCAUAUUGAGGAGGGACAGACAACUAAAACAUAAUUGUCAUUUUGUGGUAAAUGCUGUGGUGAAAAAGAAUUCAGGGAUGUUGGAGGAAUGGAGUAUCUGAUAUGUAUGUGGGGAUGGAGAGAAAUAGAGUUUUAAAUAGAGUUUUAAAUGAAGAUAGUUAAAAAGGGCCUCACUUUGAUAAGGUAGCAUUUGAACAGUGACCUCUGAAGAAGGCAAAGAAUAAAGCUAUAUAGGUUUUUGGCGAAGAACAUUCCAGCCAGGGAAGCUAUAAGUCUGAAAACCUUGAGUUUUUUCCCAAAGAGAUAAGGACUAAGGGGAAGUAUUGAGGGAUAUAAGGACUAUAUUUUAUAGAAUUUUGUGGGCCAGUGUCAAGAUCUGAAUUUUUAUUUGAGUUGGGAAGCCAUUAGAGGUUGUAGAAAAAGAAGUCAUGUGAUUAUGAGCGAAGGAUCAUCUGAAGACUGUUAAGAGUAGAUUGUGGUAGCUACAUUUAUGAGCAUAGCAUAACCUAGAAACUUGUGGAAUCACUACAUUGUACACCUGAAACUAAUGUAACAUAGUGUAUCAAACUACAAAAACUCAAGAAAAAGACUGUAAGGGGGCAAGAGUGAAAACAAAUCCUUUAGGAAAGCUGUUGCUUUGUUCACAUGGGAGAUGAUGGUGGGUUGGUUAAGGAGAUGGAGGUGGUAAUAAUGUCAGAUUUUGGGCCCAGUUUGUAUGUAGAACUGAUGGAGUUUGCUAUAGAUUGCUUUGAUGUGAAAUAGGAGAAGAGUUGUUGGGGUCAGAAUAUUAUUGUAGGAAUUAAAGUCUGAACCAAAUCCAGUUUAAGUGAAAAAGGAUGGGAAGUGAAAUGGUUAUCUUCUGGGUAGUGAAUGAAUGUAGGGUAACUUAGGUAUUUAAGAAUAAUAAGGCUGUUGCAGUAACUGAGUAAUGUAAGGUUUGAGGGUUUGGGUUUUUUUUCCCCUCCAUUUAUUUUUACUUUCCUUUUUUUUUU